Molecule: long non-coding RNA, 1223 nt
Organism: Panicum virgatum (switchgrass)
Lineage: Eukaryota; Viridiplantae; Streptophyta; Magnoliopsida; Poales; Poaceae
Exons: 6
Source: RefSeq, a predicted model, not a curated record
UCCGCCUCCCAGACUCGCUCCCUCUCACUGCGCGCCACCCUCCCCUCUGCCUCCGGCCUCCCCCUCCCUCCCCUGGCGAGGCGGCCUCCGCCGGACUCCCCCUCCCUCCGCCGGCCCGCCUCCCUGCCGGAUCUGGGGGCCGGCGCUCCUCCUCCACCGGCGGCCCCGGCCUGGUAGAGAAAGCGUGGGCGGUCAGAUCUCCGAUCCCCCCCCCCCCCGGCGCCCUCCGCCCCAACUGGCGGCCCUUGGUGCGCCGGCUCGGAGCCCUCGACCCCAACGCGCGGCGCCACUCCGCCCCGACGCGCGGCCCUCGGGACGCCGCCCCGCCGCGACGCACGGCCCUUGGGGUGCCGGCUCGGGGCCCUGCCGCUCCGCCGCGACGCGUGGGCCCUGGGGCGCCGGCUCAGGGCCCCGCCCCAUCGCCGACCCGCCCACAACGUCGGGCUCAGGGUCAAGUGCGCCAAGGAGGUGGACACAGCCAUCCGCGGCGCCAUCAUCCUCGCCAAGCUCUCGGUCGUGCCCGUCAGGAGGGGCUACUGGGGGGAACAAGAAGGUGCGCCAGUUCGCCGGCAUAGAUAAUGUCUUCACCUCCUCCCACGGCUCCACCAAGACGCUCGGUAACUUUGUCAAGGGAGCUAAUAUUCAUCAUAUUUUCUCUUUCUGGUUUUCUCUAAAAACAUGGGGAAGAAGUCACAGCCCCAGAUUACCAAGUGCAAGCAGGGGGGAACUGGACCAUGGUCACCUUCAAGUCUGAUCAGCUAACAGUGACUAUGUGGACCUGUAUAUGAAAUCUGCUAAUAGUGACAGACCUGCUGCUCUCUAAAGGGUUUAUGAGAAAGUCAAUGAUUGUUGGGAGGUGUGUGUUACUCUAAGUGUUACACUAACAGUCACGCUUUCUGUAGCAUGAAGAUCAGCUGGUCACGAGGAGCUCUGCAUCGAUAAUCAGAUAUAUUGUCUCUGGGCUGUAGAUAAGUGCUCCAAUCUCAAUAAAGUGAAAUAACAGGGGACUGGAGCAGCCGCCGCAUGGCCUAUUUAGCAACCUCUGUGUUGGCUGCUGACUUUAGUUUGCUAGGCAUCUAGAUUUAGCAUUUCAACUAUAUGAUGUAUGAGUAACUUGAAUGAUGUAUCAAGAUUUUUCAAUGUAACAGCUACUUGAAUGGUUAAAUGAGCUGCUAGUGACAGUAAUUUGAAUGGUUAAAUGAGAUUUUAGUAUGUAUGGCCUA